RNAcentral lists this unclassified non-coding RNA (233 nucleotides) under Hevea brasiliensis (rubber tree). The record is from RNAcentral. Lineage: Eukaryota; Viridiplantae; Streptophyta; Magnoliopsida; Malpighiales; Euphorbiaceae.
GGGUUCGGCAGGAUGCAAUAGAUCUAAUAUGUGGCCACUAUAGUAUCAACAAACAUGGUCCUUCACCAUUCCAGCUGAAUGGAUUUGAGUCACUAUCUUAUCUUCCAGUAGCAUCAGCUCUGGUGGUUGGAGGUUUGACAAUUACAUCACUCACCCUCCAGCAAGCGGGAAGGAACGCCCAGCAAUUUAUGUCAUCUGUGCUUUGGGCUGGUGUUACUGCUGGGGUGAUGGCA